GAUCGCCGGAUCGUCGAUCGUUGCCGGCAUCGUCCAUGGCUGUCGGUCGAUGAUCUUCUGGAUCGUCGAGCGCAGAAUCU
RNAcentral lists this small RNA (80 nucleotides) under Sinorhizobium meliloti 2011. Its description in RNAcentral is "putative ncRNA". Lineage: Bacteria; Pseudomonadati; Pseudomonadota; Alphaproteobacteria; Hyphomicrobiales; Rhizobiaceae. The record is from RNAcentral.